CCUCUCUUUGUUUAGACCAAUCCACAGACCGUGCUGUGCCAAUGGCGUUAUUGUCAUCGGAGGGAUCCGUUUGUUUAGAAGAGGAAAGAGAAGAAGCAGAAAAUAUGGACAAUGUUGACAAGACAGAGCAAGAUCCAAGCUUAGAGAGGUCAGUCAUUCUUGUGAAUAUAAUAAAAGGGCUUUGUAAACCAAGUGGACAACUAACACAGGACUGAAGAUGAAGAUUGGGGAAUCUGUACAAUCGGCAUCCAUUGAACCACCCCACUCCUAUAAAAACAAGCGUUCGGGGAUAACCUUAUGCAUAGAUUGGAUGUCACAAGGUACAAACAGGAGGUGGAAGAUAGGGCUAGAUUUCUAUAUUUAAUGAAUCCACAACAUGCUAUCUUGGAAUAAAUGAAAGACUUCCAAUAGACGAUGCUUAACUACUUGAAGCCUGAGCAGCGACUUGUAAGCUUCCAGAUAAAUAGCCCCAGGGCCAGAUUUGAAGACACAACCCCCCCACACACACCGCUCCUCUCCCUACUGAUAACUGGAAUGGGUGGGAGAUUCAAAUAGCUGUCAGUCUCCUGCCCAGUCCCCCGUUUAGAUGCACCAAGUGGGCGGCCUGCUGCUCCCAGAUAUUUGCCACCCCAGGCCCAGGCCUUUGUGCCCUGCCCACAAAUCUGGCCUUGAAUAGCACAAACUUGUCUUCAACUGAUCCAUCCCUAUGUAAUGCCUGCCACAACUUCCAUCCAAAAAAGACUGAGGGGAAUAUCCCGGGAAGUUGUCAAGAAAAGGUAAUAAUGCAUAAGCCAUACUGAUCUGACCUUCCAGCCCUCUGCGUUUUAGAAGCAUUCAAAGUAACUUUUUCUUCGUUUGUUUAUGGGUACGCUUCCAUAACUGGUACAGUGAAACCACUGAAAGAAUGUCGCAAAAUAUUACACACGGCAAAAGACUCAUUUUUAAAAGCCAUUGAUGCCACUAAAAAUACAGAGAGAGAGGAUACACAGAGAGAUGAUAACAUACAUUACCUAGAGGCAUUGCUGGUGCACAGACAUGUGCAGAGACCAGGGGUGGAAUAUGACAGUAAGUGAACAUUUCCAUAAAGACUUAGGUAAAAUGUCAACAAAGUAAAUCAUUCUCUACAAUAACUCUUACUCCUAGGUCACUGAAUGGAAAAGAAGAGUUCGCCACAGAUAUGCCAGCAGUGACAAACAUUGGCGCACAGCAACACAAGGCAGCAAGUGGCUACGUUUGCAUUGACAGGAGAGGAAGAAAUGAUAACGGUUAUCUUAAAUUUGUGUUGACAUAAUAGCUGUUGGAAUGCAGUUAUUAUUUUGUUUUGUUUCUGUUGGUUGAAGAUGUACUAUGAGAAUAUAAGGCCAAGACUGGGAUUUGAUGAUUCCCCCAACAACAUAUUCUUUUUAUCACCAAAAGGGAAGAAGAUUCAUAGCAUUUCAAAAGACAUGUGGCGAUACCACCAAAGGUGUAAAUUGUCAAAGCCUAUACAUACAGAGGGUUUCACUGUGGAAUGGAGCUACCCAGAUCGGAAGGUUUAGAGAAGGGAAGCUUUGACUGGGAAGGCAGAGAGAUGGAAGGGUCACAGGGAGGAGGGAAGGAGGACCCCACGUUGCCAGGAGACAGCAGCAAGCACAAGCCGGGGCACAGAGUCACAGGUGAUCAUCUUCCAACCGCCCAAAAACAAGGUUUGGCAAGAGGGUUCAACCUCCCAAUGUUUCCAGUCAGGUGGUGUGGCAACUGUGUGAAAUAUUUACAAUGUCACAUCGCUCCAAGAGGCACAUAUUUGCUAAAUAUUUAGCACAUACCAACAUGACAGCAGAAAAGUGGUACCGAGAGAAAACCUUGGACAACACAUGCCAUGUAUACCUACUAGUCUCUGGGGUGGCAAGCAGCAAUCAAGACAAUCAACCAGAACCAUGCACAACAUCUUUGGAAGCUGAAAGUGACCCAGAGGACCCAGAGUUGAAUAUUGAAAGUGACCACCAACAGAAAGUCGAUUAUGCCUCUCCCUGCAAUCCCUCCUUCCCAACUCCGUCUGUCUCCUCCAUUCUCUUUGUAGAAGCGACGAGCCAUGCACAUCCCAAACAAUAAGAAGAGGACAUACACAGGGUCGGACUGGGCCGCCGGGACACUGGGAAAAAUCCCGGUGAGUUCUGGCUUUAG
Molecule: long non-coding RNA, 2163 nt
Organism: Xenopus tropicalis (tropical clawed frog)
Lineage: Eukaryota; Metazoa; Chordata; Amphibia; Anura; Pipidae
Exons: 5
Source: RefSeq, a predicted model, not a curated record